RNAcentral lists this long non-coding RNA (434 nucleotides) under Vigna radiata. RNAcentral describes it as "long non-coding RNA (VRAD_LNC011225)". The record is from RNAcentral. Lineage: Eukaryota; Viridiplantae; Streptophyta; Magnoliopsida; Fabales; Fabaceae.
UUUGUUCAGAGCUUGGUUUCAAGGUCAACAUUUUUCUUAGGUGAUAAGGGUCUGCCUUAGAGAGAUCAUUGGUGAGUGUGAUGGGAUCCUCGCCGGUGAUGGAGAAAGAGUGAGAGAUGUUGGUGCCUGUAGGGAGACAGUGUGCUACCCAAAGAUGAAGGGAGAGGAAGGGAGAAAAGCUUAGCGUGAAGGUGAAGCAAUGGAUUGACAUGUUUCAAAAUAAUGAGAAAUGAUGUGACACAGUUAGCCACCUGUAAGGGCCUAAAAAUUUUUAAAAUCAUUGGGCCUUAUGUGAGGCAGUUAGGCCCAUAAGACUAGAAAUAACUUGACCUUAGAGAGAAAGGUGGUGCCCCUACAUUCUCGAAGUCGAGGGCUUCCAAUCCAUCCGAUUAGUUUCACGUCUCUCCACUAAUAAGGUAAAUUUACCAUUCUCC